RNAcentral lists this ribosomal RNA (710 nucleotides) under Saccharopolyspora sp. KLBMP 1325. Its description in RNAcentral is "bacterial SSU rRNA". It matches the Rfam family "Bacterial small subunit ribosomal RNA", at positions 121 to 839 of the family's 1533-position model. The record is from RNAcentral. Lineage: Bacteria; Bacillati; Actinomycetota; Actinomycetes; Pseudonocardiales; Pseudonocardiaceae.
GUAAUCUGCCCUGCACUCUGGGAUAAGCCUUGGAAACGAGGUCUAAUACCGGAUAGGACACAUGGCCGCAUGGUCUGUGUGUGGAAAGUUCCGGCGGUGCAGGUUGAGCCCGCGGCCUAUCAGCUUGUUGGUGGGGUGAUGGCCUACCAAGGCGACGACGGGUAGCCGGCCUGAGAGGGUGACCGGCCACACUGGGACUGAGACACGGCCCAGACUCCUACGGGAGGCAGCAGUGGGGAAUCUUGCGCAAUGGGCGAAAGCCUGACGCAGCAACGCCGCGUGGGGGAUGACGGCCUUCGGGUUGUAAACCUCUUUCGACAUCGACGAAGCCUUCGGGUGACGGUAGGUGUAGAAGAAGCACCGGCUAACUACGUGCCAGCAGCCGCGGUAAUACGUAGGGUGCGAGCGUUGUCCGGAAUUAUUGGGCGUAAAGAGCUCGUAGGCGGUUUGUCGCGUCGGCCGUGAAAACCUGCCGCUUAACGGUGGGCGUGCGGUCGAUACGGGCAGACUUGAGUUCGGUAGGGGAGACUGGAAUUCCUGGUGUAGCGGUGAAAUGCGCAGAUAUCAGGAGGAACACCGGUGGCGAAGGCGGGUCUCUGGGCCGAUACUGACGCUGAGGAGCGAAAGCGUGGGGAGCGAACAGGAUUAGAUACCCUGGUAGUCCACGCCGUAAACGGUGGGCGCUAGGUGUGGGGACUGUUUCCACGGUU